CAGCGUUCUUCAUAACUGUGAAGAAGAGGAGCACAGACAAACACAAGAGAGAUAUUGUGUGAGACGUAUCACUUCAACUGAACUCUUGAAGAAAGCAGAUGUGUUAGCUAAGUGUCUUUAAGCGAGAAAAAAAGAAGAGAAUGUCACAUGUUGUUUAUUUUGGACUUCUUUUCACAUGCUCAGUUCUUGUUGGGUGUAGCAGCAUUAACAAGGAACAAUGGAAGAGCAUGCUGGAAAGAAAAAAACUGAACCUUCCCGAAGAAUUCAAAAUGAGUCAUGAAUUGAACAUAGAGAACUCUGAGAUGAAUGCCAUUUUGUGUUGGGUUUGCAAGAAGUCAAUUCAUGAGAUCAAGGGUGUGAUUCUUCAUGAAAUUAAAAAGGAAAUAAAGACAGUGUGCAAAGCAAUGAAAAUUCUUGAACACAUCUGUGAGCACAAUGCUUACAAAUACCAAUUAUUGAUAAUUCAUCUACUGUUUCCUGGUAAUAGCGAACAAACCUGUCACCAUUUGAGCAUGUGUAAAUAAAUGUAUUGCUCUGCUGUGGUGAACCAAAUUAUUUUCCACAUACUUUUAAUAAAUCAGCCUCUUGCCUGUUUGAUGUUGCUAUAGUCAAUUUUUCCAAUAAAGUCAAUACAGUGUUAUUUUUAUUGUUUGCAUUAUAUGCUGUGUAAACGAUCAU
This is a long non-coding RNA of Carassius carassius (crucian carp), 678 nucleotides long. RefSeq lists it as uncharacterized. NCBI's taxonomy places the organism in Eukaryota, Metazoa, Chordata, Actinopteri, Cypriniformes, Cyprinidae. The record is from RefSeq and is a predicted model, not a curated record. The transcript has 4 exons.